ACUCUGACCACUGUGCCUGGUGUCAUCAGAUACAAAGGUGCCAAGAUCCAGCUCCUGGAUCUCCCAGGUAUCAUUGAAGGUGCCAAGGAUGGGAAGGGUAGAGGUCGUCAAGUCAUUGCAGUGGCCCAAACCUGUAACUUGAUCUUGAUUGUUCUGAAUGUCCUGAAACCUUUGGGACAUAAGAAGAUAAUUGAAAAUGAGCUGAAAGGCUUUGGCAUUCGCUUGAACAGCAAACCCCCCAACAUUGGCUUUAAGAAGAAAGACAAGGGAGGCAUUAAUCUCACAGCCACUUGCCCCCAGAGUGAGCUAGAUGCUGAAACUGUGAAGAGCAUUCUGGCCGAAUACAAGAUUCAUAAUGCUGAUGUGACUCUACGUAGUGAUGCUACAGCUGAUGACCUCAUUGAUGUGGUGGAAGGAAACAGAGUUUAUAUCCCCUGUAUCUAUGUGUUAAAUAAGAUUGACCAAAUCUCCAUUGAGGAAUUGGAUAUCAUCUGUAAGGUGCCUCACUGUGUACCCAUCUCUGCCCAUCACCGCUGGAAUUUUGAUGACUUAUUGGAAAAGAUCUGGGACUAUCUGAAACUAGUGAGAAUUUACACCAAACCCAAAGGCCAAUUACCAGAUUACACAUCCCCAGUGGUACUUCCUUACUCCAGGACCACAGUGGAGGAUUUCUGCAUGAAGAUUCACAAAAAUCUUAUCAAAGAAUUUAAAUAUGCUCUGGUCUGGGGUCUGUCUGUGAAACACAAUCCUCAGAAAGUGGGUAAAGACCAUACGUUGGAGGACGAGGAUGUCAUUCAAAUUGUGAAGAAGUGAAACUUUUCCCCUUUCCUAUCUGCCGGGCGAACCACAACAGCCUUCCCCAUGAUCAAGCACCCUACCCCAGUUCUUUCUGGUUUUGGCAGUCACUGGAUCAGGAUCCAGGGGAGGGAGAUGGAGGCACCCAAACUGGAACUUCAUUUGUCUUACCUUGGUGUCACCUUGUAUGUCGAACUGCAUAAAAGAUCUGGUAGGCUGGUCAGCUACAUACAAAAAAAAAAAUAGAAAAA
RNA transcript from Mandrillus leucophaeus (drill), 1046 nucleotides. It is a transcript of the gene named developmentally-regulated GTP-binding protein 1 pseudogene, with no coding region annotated. The record is from RefSeq and is a predicted model, not a curated record. Lineage: Eukaryota; Metazoa; Chordata; Mammalia; Primates; Cercopithecidae. The transcript has a single exon.